RNAcentral lists this ribosomal RNA (481 nucleotides) under Veillonella sp. oral clone BP2-85. RNAcentral describes it as "bacterial SSU rRNA". It matches the Rfam family "Bacterial small subunit ribosomal RNA", at positions 38 to 488 of the family's 1533-position model. Lineage: Bacteria; Bacillati; Bacillota; Negativicutes; Veillonellales; Veillonellaceae. The record is from RNAcentral.
GGCGGCGUGCUUAACACAUGCAAGUCGAACGAAGAGCGAUGGAAGCUUGCUUCUAUCAAUCUUAGUGGCGAACGGGUGAGUAACGCGUAAUCAACCUGCCCUUCAGAGGGGGACAACAGUUGGAAACGACUGCUAAUACCGCAUACGAUCCAAUCUCGGCAUCGAGACUGGAUGAAAGGUGGCCUCUAUUUAUAAGCUAUCACUGAAGGAGGGGAUUGCGUCUGAUUAGCUAGUUGGAGGGGUAACGGCCCACCAAGGCGAUGAUCAGUAGCCGGUCUGAGAGGAUGAACGGCCACAUUGGGACUGAGACACGGCCCAGACUCCUACGGGAGGCAGCAGUGGGGAAUCUUCCGCAAUGGACGAAAGUCUGACGGAGCAACGCCGCGUGAGUGAUGACGGCCUUCGGGUUGUAAAGCUCUGUUAAUCGGGACGAAUGGUUCUUGUGCGAAUAGUGCGAGGAUUUGACGGUACCGGAAUAGAA